GAAUGCUGACAUAAGUAACGAUAAAGCGGGUGAAAAGCCCGCUCGCCGGAAGACCAAGGGUUCCUGUCCAACGUUAAUCGGGGCAGGGUGAGUCGACCCCUAAGGCGAGGCCGAAAGGCGUAGUCGAUGGGAAACGGGUUAAUAUUCCCGUACUUGGUGUUACUGCGAAGGGGGGACGGAGAAGGCUAUGUUGGCCGGGCGACGGUUGUCCCGGUUUAAGCGUGUAGGCUGGUUUUCCAGGCAAAUCCGGAAAAUCAAGGCUGAGGCGUGAUGACGAGGCACUACGGUGCUGAAGCAACAAAUGCCCUGCUUCCAGGAAAAGCCUCUAAGCAUCAGGUAACAUCAAAUCGUACCCCAAACCGACACAGGUGGUCAGGUAGAGAAUACCAAGGCGCUUGAGAGAACUCGGGUGAAGGAACUAGGCAAAAUGGUGCCGUAACU
RNAcentral lists this ribosomal RNA (441 nucleotides) under Salmonella enterica subsp. enterica serovar Senftenberg. RNAcentral's name for it is "partial 23S ribosomal RNA". It matches the Rfam family "Bacterial large subunit ribosomal RNA", at positions 1292 to 1735 of the family's 2925-position model. Lineage: Bacteria; Pseudomonadati; Pseudomonadota; Gammaproteobacteria; Enterobacterales; Enterobacteriaceae. The record is from RNAcentral. RNAcentral also lists the same sequence under 3 other names.